GAUGAACGCUAGCGACAGGCCUAACACAUGCAAGUCGAGGGGCAGCACAAGGAGCAAUCUGAGGUGGCGACCGGCGCACGGGUGAGUAACACGUAUGCAACCUACCUGUAAGAGGGGAAUAACCCGUUAGAAAAACGGACUAAUACCGCAUAACACUGUAGAACCGCAUGGUUUGACAGUUAAACAUUUAUGGCUUACAGAUGGGCAUGCGCAUGAUUAGCUAGUUGGUGAGGUAACGGCUCACCAAGGCAACGAUCAUUAGGGGUUCUGAGAGGAAGGUCCCCCACACUGGUACUGAGACACGGACCAGACUCCUACGGGAGGCAGCAGUGAGGAAUAUUGGUCAAUGGGCGAGAGCCUGAACCAGCCAAGUCGCGUGAAGGAUGAAGGUUUUAUGAAUUGUAAACUUCUUUUGCAGGGGAAUAAAGUGUCCGACGUGUCGGAUUUUGUAUGUACUCUGCGAAUAAGGAUCGGCUAACUCCGUG
Molecule: ribosomal RNA, 485 nt
Filed under: uncultured bacterium
Lineage: Bacteria
Description: bacterial SSU rRNA
Rfam family: Bacterial small subunit ribosomal RNA
Source: RNAcentral